Long non-coding RNA from Oncorhynchus tshawytscha (Chinook salmon), 506 nucleotides. The record is from Ensembl. Lineage: Eukaryota; Metazoa; Chordata; Actinopteri; Salmoniformes; Salmonidae.
CUUUCUGUGAAGGUUACAGUAUAUGAAGGCUUAAUGUGGUGGUGAGUGUUAUGUAAGGAUGGGUCUCUCUUGGAAAUGCACAAAAUCUCAGAACAGAUGAGUCAGGAAGGGAGAUGAGAGAGGAGAUGAUAGAGGAGGGGAGAUGAGAGAGGAGGGGAGAUGAGAGAGGAGGAGAGAUGAGAGGGGAGAUGAGAUGAGUCAGGAAGGGAGAUGAGAUGAGUCAGGAAGGAGAUGAGAUGAGUCAGGAAGGGAGAUGAGAGGAGAGAUGAGAGGAGAGAUGAGUCAGGAAGGAGAUGAGAGGAGAGAUGAGUCAGGAAGGGAGAUGAGAGGAGAGAUGAGAGGGGAGAUGAGUCAGGAGGGGAGAUGAGAGGAGAGAUGAGUCAGGAAGGGAGAUGAGAGGAGAGAUGAGUCAGGAAGGGAGAUGAGAGAGGAGGGGAGAUGAGUCAGGAGGGGAGAUGAGAGGGGAGAUGAGUCAGGAGGGGAGAUGAGUCAGGAGGGGAGAUGAG